CACAGGUCUCUUUCUAUGACUCACCCUGCCUCCCUGUGAUAGGAUGAAGUCCCGAAUGACAGAGGUGGAGCUAGAACCCACGUCACUCAGAGUUCAAUGCCCUUUUGGGUUACGUAUGUGUGUGUUUGUGUGUGGGUGCACGUGAGACGCGAUAGGGGAGGGGCAUCUCUGCUAUCUGAAGCUCUUUCUUUUCUUCCUCCUUUGUCUCAAUAAACCUGACUCAGACUCUGUCAUCCCCUGUUCUGUUUUUUCAUUUCUUUCCCACUUUACCCACCAUUAUUGUUUCUACCCCUGAAGGAUCACAGUCUCACUUUCAUCUCCUCUGUAAAACUAGCUAACUUUUCAUAUCCCUAGAUCCACCCAUUGCUCACUAUCUUUUCUUCUUCUUUUUAAUAGAAUUUUAUUGAAUAAUUCAGUAUCACAUGUGCCAAGGGUUUAAACUUAAUGAGUAAAGCAACAAUUAUCCUAAAUCAUGAAAGAAAUUCACCUUUUGUGCCAAGCUUUGUGUUAAUGGCUUUGGCAGUUUGCACAGACUAUUGAGAGUCUUUGUAAUAUUAAAAAUGGGACAUUGAUGUUGUUAUUAAUUUUAAUAUGAACUAUUAAUAUUGCCACCACUUAUAAAAUGCUUAAUGUAUGGCAAACACUUGCUAAACACUUUAUAUGCAUUUAAUCAUAAAAUCAACUCUGUGAGAGGUAUUAGUGAGUUUCUCAUUUACUUAACUUUUUUCCCCCAGUGCUGGGGCUCCAGACCAGGGCUUUGCACAUGCUAGGUAGGCUCUCCACUAGGCUACAUCCCCAAGCCUCCCAUUCAUUUUAGGUGAGGAGCCUGAGGCUCUCCUGGUUUCUUCACAAUGGAAAGUGGCCAGUCUGACCCUUGCAUUACAUUCUUUUCUUUUUUAUUUGUUCUUUUUAAUCACACAUGACAGCACAAUGUGUUUUGACAUAUUAUUCAUACAUGCACAUUCUUCCAUUCUUGUGGUUGUACAUGAUGUGGAGUUACACUGAUCAUGUACCUUGCACUACAUUCUAAUGAACUUGUUUUCUUCCAAAGCUCUGCUUGGGCCUCACUCCUACUGUACCUGGCCUUUUUGUAUGUUGAUAGUGAAC
This 1107-nucleotide long non-coding RNA is filed under the name Marmota monax (woodchuck). Lineage: Eukaryota; Metazoa; Chordata; Mammalia; Rodentia; Sciuridae. The record is from RNAcentral.